Molecule: small nucleolar RNA, 133 nt
Filed under: Echinops telfairi (small Madagascar hedgehog)
Lineage: Eukaryota; Metazoa; Chordata; Mammalia; Afrosoricida; Tenrecidae
Description: Small nucleolar RNA SNORA9 (ENSETEG00000025221.1)
Source: RNAcentral
UUGCAAGCCUUCCGGCGUACUUGGGUCUGGGGUGGCUCCUUGCAUUCCUGCAGUGCUUGCCAGUGUUCUGAGAUGGUGUGGGAUCUUGCCCUGUCCUUUCCUCAUGGCAUGGCCGAAGACAUUUCCGACAACU